UUUGAAUAUAUGAUAUUUUGUCUUUUAACUUUGCUGUGAAUGAGCAUUUAUUACUGAACGUUAAUUUUAUGAGUUUUUUAUUAAAAGUUUUUCAGUUUCGCUGAAAUUUCUAUGUUAGCGGAAGUUUUUAAGUCAACGUAUCUAAGUUAUUGUUAUGUGAGAUAUUGGAUUUAUAAUGGUGCGACAUGAGGGUGUGAGCGAACUUGAUUUGUGAACUAAUUUAAAAAGUUUUUUGUAGAAGAUCCUAACCAAAUAAGUUAUAUAAUGCAUUUGCAACUGCUUAAUAUGGGAGGAAGAAGUUUUUUUAGAAAAAGUAGGGGCUGGAACCAAAAAAUUGUAUAGUUCUUUUUUCUCUCUUUGGAUCUUUUCAUCCUCUUAUAAUAAUUUUGAGAACAUAAAAUUAUCAAAAAAAAUUCUAUCGAUUUAAUAACGAUUGUAAUUUUGGGUUUGCCAAAAUAAGCUGGUAGGAAAUGAAAAAAUUAACUAUAAUAAUACACUAAGUUUAUCUAUAUUUUCUGUUUCUAUAAAUUUUUAUAAUUUAAUAAUACUUUGGAGGAUAAUUGAGGCUAUUUGAUUUAGUGAGCAUAUAAUUCUUUUAAUGUUGGUUUUAAUGAGCAUUUAUAGAUGGAUGUUAAUUUUUUGACAUAUUCGCUAAGGUUGAAUUGAUCUUCAUAAUUACGUAAUAUGGUUUUGGUGAUGUUAGUACAUUUUAAUUAUUAUCUUUGGUUUA
Molecule: long non-coding RNA, 730 nt
Filed under: Brassica napus (rape)
Lineage: Eukaryota; Viridiplantae; Streptophyta; Magnoliopsida; Brassicales; Brassicaceae
Description: long non-coding RNA (BNAP_LNC005846)
Source: RNAcentral